GGCCAUGUCUGUAGCUCUGCGUAUAUCAUCAAGAGCACCAGUAGAUACACGUCCAGAGUACAAUACUUCUUCCGCAGCACGUCCACCAAGAAGAGUGACCAACCUCCCACGCAAUUCAUCAACAAAGAGCAGAUAUCUGUCCUCAUUGGUUGGAGGAAUAUAAGUAAAUCCUAAAGCCCCUCCAGAUCUUGGCAAUAUGCUCAGCUUCUCAACCCGUGGCUGCCCGGAAAGAAGAUUUGCAACAGCAGUCCCAACUACUGCGUGCCCUGCUUCAUGCCUUGCUACUACACCCUUCUCACUUCCCUGCAGUUUGGCAGUCUUCUUCUCAAUGCCCGCAAUUGAACGCUCAACAGCUUGAAUGAAAUCAAUUCUUUCAACUACAACUUUACUCAGUCUUCCUGCCAACAGAGCAGCUUCAUUCACCAGAUUUGCAAGAUCUGCCCCCGUAAAACCAGUAGUCAUAGAAGCGAUGUUACCAAGAUCAACAUCUUGUGCCAAGGGAAGUUCUUUCUUGGAGACAUGUACCUUUAAGAUAGCUUCUCUUCCACACCUAUCAGGCGCUUCCACCAUUACAACACGGUCAAAUCUCCCAGGUCGGCGAAGAGCAGGGUCUAAGACAUCAGAGCGAUUUGUUGCUCCAAGAACAAUUACAGCAGAAUUACUGUCAAAUCCGUCCAUCUCAGUGAGUAGUUGGUUCAAUGUCUGCUCUCUUUCAUCAUUGCUUACAAUGCGGAAUUUUCCAUCACGGCUUUUUGCCACAGCAUCUAUCUCA
RNAcentral lists this unclassified non-coding RNA (772 nucleotides) under Hevea brasiliensis (rubber tree). The record is from RNAcentral. Lineage: Eukaryota; Viridiplantae; Streptophyta; Magnoliopsida; Malpighiales; Euphorbiaceae.